UGCAAUGGGUCGCACUGAGACU
RNAcentral lists this microRNA (22 nucleotides) under Triops cancriformis. RNAcentral describes it as "tcf-miR-10354". Lineage: Eukaryota; Metazoa; Arthropoda; Branchiopoda; Notostraca; Triopsidae. The record is from miRBase by way of RNAcentral.